UACAGUGAAAUGCAUGCCAUGACAGAGAGAAAGAGAAGAGGCCUUCAUCUCAUGCAUCUGGAUUCAUCAAAGGAGAUGAACAAUUCUUCCAGAAGUCAAUGGGUUUUGAGGUACAUCCAUUGGCAAAAAAGUUGUCACAGGCAUAUCCAAAGUUGUCACAGCUUGAUGGGUUUGACAUUUGAACAUGGCAAAGAUCGCCCUCCGAAACCUACAA
Molecule: long non-coding RNA, 214 nt
Organism: Phyllostomus discolor (pale spear-nosed bat)
Lineage: Eukaryota; Metazoa; Chordata; Mammalia; Chiroptera; Phyllostomidae
Exons: 2
Source: RefSeq, a predicted model, not a curated record